AUACUCAAUAGAUGUUCAUUUGCCCAUCUAGUCCACCCACCUACCAAUCCAUUCUUGUUACUUUUUUUUCUUCUCCAGAGUUUAUAGGAUUGAAAGGAGAGAAUCAGUUGCAACAGGUGCCCCUGGAGCCUCUUCUUAUUCGUCAGGAUCAACAUUAUCCAUUUUGUAAAAGAGAAGAGGCAACCAUAUGGAUAAAACCUGCAGAUGCCAGAAGGAAAGAUGCUUGUCUGCAGCAUCUUUCCCUCUGGGACUAUAGAGGAGUAUGUCAAGGCUGUAUAUUGUCACCCUGCUUAUUUAACUUACAUACAGAGUACAUCAUGCGAAAUGCCAGACUGGAUGAAGCACAAGCUAAAUCAAGAUUGCCAGGAGAAAUAUCAACAACCUCAGAUAUACAGAUGACACCACCCUUAUGGCAGAAAGCGAAGAGGAACUAAAGAGCCUCUUGAUGAAAGUGAAAGAAAAGAGUGAAAAAGCUGGCUUAAAAUUCAACAUUCAAAAAACAAAGAUC
Long non-coding RNA from Bos taurus (domestic cattle), 508 nucleotides. NCBI's taxonomy places the organism in Eukaryota, Metazoa, Chordata, Mammalia, Artiodactyla, Bovidae. The record is from Ensembl.